ACGGGUGAGUAGCGCGUGGAUAAUCUGCCCUGGUAUCUGGGAUAACAUUUCGAAAGGGGUGCUAAUACCGGAUAAGCCCACGGGGACUUUGGUCUUUGCGGGAAAAGGUGGGGACCUUCGGGCCUACUGUAUCAUGAUGAGUCCGCGUACCAUUAGCUGGUUGGCGGGGUAACGGCCCACCAAGGCGACUAUGGUUAGCUGGUCUGAGAGGAUGAUCAGCCACACUGGAACUGAUACACGGUCCAGACUCCUACGGGAGGCAGCAGUGGGGAAUUUUGCGCAAUGGGGGAAACCCUGACGCACCAUCGCCGCGUGAGUGAUGAAGGCCUUCGGGUCGUAAAGCUCUGUCAGAGGGAAAGAAGUGUAUUAUGGCUAAUACCCAUGAUACUUGACGGUACCCUCAAAGGAAGCACCGGCUAACUCCGUGCCAGCAUCCGCGGUAAUACCGAGGGUGCGAGCGUUGUUCGGAAUUAUUGGGCGUAAAGCGCGUGUAGGCGGUUUUUUAAGUCUGAUGUGAAAGCCCCGGGCUCAACCCGGGAAGUGCAUUGGAAACUGGGAGACCUGAAUACGGGAGAGGGUAGUGGAAU
RNAcentral lists this ribosomal RNA (587 nucleotides) under uncultured bacterium. RNAcentral's name for it is "bacterial SSU rRNA". It matches the Rfam family "Bacterial small subunit ribosomal RNA", at positions 102 to 667 of the family's 1533-position model. The record is from RNAcentral.